GACGAACGCUGGCGGCGUGCUUAACACAUGCAAGUCGAACGAAGUGGCGCACGGGUGAGUAACGCGUAAUCAACCUGCCCUUCCGAGGGGGACAACAGUUGGAAACGACUGCUACUCCCCCAUACUGAAGACGGUGAUUGCGUCUGAGCGGCUCGUGGGAGGGGUAACGGCCCACCAAGGCGAUGAUCAGUAGCCGGGCUGAGAGGAUGAACGGCCACAUUGGGACUGCGACACGGCCCAGAAUCCUACGGGAGGCAGCAGUGGGGAAUCUUCCGAAAUGGACGAAAGUCGGACUGAGCAACGCCGCGUGAGUGAUGACGGCCUUCGGGUUGUAAAGCUCUGUUAAUCGGGACGCGGUACCGGAAUAGAAAGCCACGGCUAACUACGUGCCAGCAGCCGCGGUAAUAC
RNAcentral lists this ribosomal RNA (408 nucleotides) under uncultured bacterium. Its description in RNAcentral is "partial 16S ribosomal RNA". It matches the Rfam family "Bacterial small subunit ribosomal RNA", at positions 28 to 526 of the family's 1533-position model. The record is from RNAcentral.